This 539-nucleotide ribosomal RNA is filed under the name uncultured bacterium. RNAcentral's name for it is "bacterial SSU rRNA". It matches the Rfam family "Bacterial small subunit ribosomal RNA", at positions 1 to 549 of the family's 1533-position model. The record is from RNAcentral.
AAUUCGAUUGAGUUUGAUCAUGGCUCAGGAUGAACGCUGGCGGCGUGCUUAACACAUGCAAGUCAAGGGGGCCCAGCAAUGGGCAACCGGCGAACGGGUGCGUAACACGUGAGCAACCUACCUAGGUGUGGGGGAUAGCCGGCCCAACGGCCGGGUAAUACCGCAUACGCUCUUCUUUAGGCAUUUAGAGGAGAGGAAACCUUCGGGGCACCAUGAGGGGCUCGCGGCCUAUCAGCUAGUUGGCGAGGUAAUGGCUCACCAAGGCUACGACGGGUAGCUGGUCUGAGAGGAUGGCCAGCCACAUUGGGACUGAGAAACGGCCCAGACUCCUACGGGAGGCAGCAGUGGGGAAUCUUGCGCAAUGGCCUAACGGCUGACGCAGCGACGCCGCGUGAGGGAUGACGCUCUUCGGAGUGUAAACCUCUUUUGCCUGGAACGAACCAUCAGCAUUUGCUGAUUUGACGGUACCGGGUGAAUAAGCACCGGCUAACUCCGUGCCAGCAGCCGCGGUAAUACGGGGGGUGCGAGCGUUGUCCGGA